This 60-nucleotide transfer RNA is filed under the name Secundilactobacillus yichangensis. It matches the Rfam family "tRNA", at positions 7 to 64 of the family's 71-position model. From Rfam's summary of the family: Transfer RNA (tRNA) molecules are approximately 80 nucleotides in length. Their secondary structure includes four short double-helical elements and three loops (D, anti-codon, and T loops). The record is from RNAcentral. Lineage: Bacteria; Bacillati; Bacillota; Bacilli; Lactobacillales; Lactobacillaceae.
CGUAGUUCAGUGGUAGAAUAAUUGACUGUUAAUCAAGAGGUCGCUGGUUCGAGCCCAGCC